AUCAAAGAGAAUUUCCCUUUAGCUUAGCAAUGUGCUGAAGCUCUUAAAAGAUUGGAUCUGAGAGAGAGAGACAGAGAGGAGAAAGAGAACUAGAGACAGAGAGAGGCAGACAAGGAAGGGGGGGGGGGGUGAAAGACUUUCUUUUUCUUUCUAGAGGAAUUCUGCCCAGACUCUGCAGCAGUUGGUAGCAGGCAAGCUUUCUCCUGGGUGUCGCCUUGAAAAGUUGCAAAAUUGCUCUUCACCUGUAAGAACAUGCUCUUUAUCUUCCAGUCUCUUCUUGUCAAUUUGGAAAUUGCAGACUGCCCGGCUCAGGUACAGUCCCCACAAACCCUAUUCUAGGUCAGGACAAAAGCCACUGGCUUUGGGGGAAGGGGGCUGGGCUCUUUUACUGAAAACCUUAGAUGCUUGGUGGGAGAAAAAGACUCUUUGGAUGAAAAGUCUAACUCUUGAUUUUCAAAAAUUUCUUAAUGAAAGCGAUGAUGAUGUCGACCUUAACCUCCAGAAUGAAGAUACUUCAGGACUUAGUCUGAGAAGGUAAGAUAGACGAUGACAUCAAAUGUACCC
RNAcentral lists this long non-coding RNA (564 nucleotides) under Homo sapiens (human). RNAcentral's name for it is "HSALNT0377220". The record is from RNAcentral. Lineage: Eukaryota; Metazoa; Chordata; Mammalia; Primates; Hominidae.